CCUACGGGAGGCUGCAGUCGAGAAUCAUUCACAAUGGGGGAAACCCUGAUGGUGCGACGCCGCGUGGGGGAAUGAAGGUCUUCGGAUUGUAAACCCCUGUCAUGUGGGAGCAAAUUAAAAAGAUAGUACCACAAGAGGAAGAGACGGCUAACUCUGUGCCAGCAGCCGCGGUAAUACAGAGGUCUCAAGCGUUGUUCGGAAUCACUGGGCGGAAAGCGUGCGGAGGCUGUUUCGUAAGUCGUGUGUGAAAGGCGCGGGCUCAACCCGCGGACGGCACAUGAUACUGCGAGACUAGAGUAAUGGAGGGGGAACCGGAAUUCUCGGUGUAGCAGUGAAAUGCGUAGAGAUCGAGAGGAACACUCGUGGCGAAGGCGGGUUCCUGGACAUUAACUGACGCUGAGGCACGAAGGCCAGGGGAGCGAAAGGGAUUAGAUACCCUUGUAGUC
This 446-nucleotide ribosomal RNA is filed under the name uncultured bacterium. RNAcentral describes it as "partial 16S ribosomal RNA". It matches the Rfam family "Bacterial small subunit ribosomal RNA", at positions 338 to 795 of the family's 1533-position model. The record is from RNAcentral.